GACUACCCCAUGCCAAGUCUUCCCGUGCAACUCUCCCUCCCGGCAAAGCCCAAAUGACCUGUCAGUCACUCUAUCAAUUGAACAGAAGAAUGAAACUGGUCACACAAGUCAUCUGGCAUCAGACAGACUCUGCCAUUGACAGAUGUGAACAAUCCGUUGCCAUGUGGACUCCUUAUACAGUUUCGCCAUUUGCCAAAGCAAUGAUUCCACUGCUUCCAUGUGGGACACAAGGGACGCAAGUAAGAACUAAAAGAAAGAACCUCCUCUACUCCUGGGUCACAGGUCCAGAGAGGAGGGCCCAGAAAAGGAUACCCAAGUCCUGGCAACAGAUUUGGUGACCAUCCUUCAGCCUUCCCAGUUGCGCUUGCCAUUUUCAAUAUCACUCAGAGCUGUGGUUCCAAUUCUGUCCCCUUGUGUCUCCAGCAUCUCUCCCUCCCAGGGAGGCAGCUUCGCUUUUGGUCUUCAGUGGGGUGGAGAGGUAGUCCCAAGAGAGAGUCUCUCAUGUGCCCACAGACAAUUCGUUCCUGGUCUUCUCUUCUGAUUUCUGCUUUGAUGGCUACCGUUUGAGAGUGGUUUUAUGUCCAGUGCGAAUAAAGCUAACAUCUUACAACAACCACUCAAGUGAAAGAGUGAGAUAUUUCUAUUUUAAGUCAACAUAUCUACAAAUCAGAUUGAAUGCC
This is a long non-coding RNA of Enhydra lutris kenyoni (northern sea otter), 680 nucleotides long. RefSeq lists it as uncharacterized. NCBI's taxonomy places the organism in Eukaryota, Metazoa, Chordata, Mammalia, Carnivora, Mustelidae. The transcript has 5 exons. The record is from RefSeq and is a predicted model, not a curated record.